CAGAAGAUAGUUUAAUUUAGAAUUCUGGCUUUGGGAGCCAGGGGUGGGAGUUAAAAUCUCCUUUUUCUG
Molecule: transfer RNA, 69 nt
Filed under: Sarcocheilichthys lacustris
Lineage: Eukaryota; Metazoa; Chordata; Actinopteri; Cypriniformes; Gobionidae
Also listed under: 3 other names
Description: tRNA-Pro
Rfam family: tRNA
About the family: Transfer RNA (tRNA) molecules are approximately 80 nucleotides in length. Their secondary structure includes four short double-helical elements and three loops (D, anti-codon, and T loops).
Source: RNAcentral